UGACUUCUCGCCUCCUUCUUCAAGGCCACCAACUUGUCUCGUCUGGCCUUCAGAUAAGCCUGCCUCUUCUUCAUGUCCUCCUCCGACACCUGAAACGUUCGGAUCUCUAAAAUGAACCGUUACUUGAAAGUUGGCGACGACAGGGACUCCGUUUCCGGCGUCUUGUCCUGCUGCGACGCCUUCAGAGCUUCUUCCAACAGGGCUCUCUCGUUGUUGUAUUUGGCCGUCAACCGCUCGUGCUCCUUGAUCAGCGACGUCUCCGACGCCUCUAUAUCCUGCUCUUCCUCUGGAUCAUCGUCCAGAGCGUGUUUCCUGUGAACAGGUGUCGUCGUGCGAUCCGUCCGUUUCAUACAUCAAGGAGGCUGGCGUCAGACCGUACUUCUGCUCGAUCACGUUCAGAGCCUGCAACUGCAGUUCCAAGUUCUUCUGUAUCAUCAUCCUCUUGAAUAUCUCGUACUCGUUCGCAGCCCAUAUCUGCUCGAACAGGUUCUAGAAAAUAUAACGAAAGAGUCACUACGAGACAAGUUUCGCAUGUUUAUUAGUUUGUUACUCUCGUAUGCCGAAAGAAAUGUACCGCCUUUCUCCAGGAAUUGUUAUGUAAAGCGAGCGAAAGUUGGAGCGAAAUGUCGUUCUACAAUAAGCGAAAAGCAAAGAGCUAUCCGUGCGGCGACUACUUCGACCGUUGCGUAAGAAAAUUCGACAGGAAAAUUCGACUACUUCGACGUUUCUCCUCGUUUCGACUUACUUGUUGGAACUGUAUAGGCAUUUUCGUGUAUUUGUUCACGGUACAAGCGUACUCGAAUUGCUCCGGAGUGAUUCCCAUGUCUUCCAUGAAACAACCGAGCAAUAAAUCCACCAAAUUUUUGUACUCUUGAUAUAUCUUCUGGUACUCGUCGUUUUCCUCUAUGUCCGCUUCGAAUACUGCGUGAGAUCAUAGAAAACAAAAGUGAAAAGGCUUCGAACAACGUUGACGGACGCGUAGAGAACAAGCCAACGGGAAAAUCGUUUGUCGACGUAGAAAGAUCGUUGCCGAAGAGACUCACUGAGCGACUUUUCCUCUAUGAAGGUAAUCAGAGGCGCGGACCAAACCGGGCCCUGAAGAAACCCGAUCAGGGAGUCGAAGACCCAGGCGCUGUCGUCUUUGUCGU
Hylaeus volcanicus is the source of this 1148-nucleotide long non-coding RNA. RefSeq lists it as uncharacterized. The transcript has 3 exons. The record is from RefSeq and is a predicted model, not a curated record. Lineage: Eukaryota; Metazoa; Arthropoda; Insecta; Hymenoptera; Colletidae.